This 442-nucleotide ribosomal RNA is filed under the name Thereva mirabilis. RNAcentral describes it as "partial 16S ribosomal RNA". It matches the Rfam family "Bacterial large subunit ribosomal RNA", at positions 1925 to 2577 of the family's 2925-position model. The record is from RNAcentral. Lineage: Eukaryota; Metazoa; Arthropoda; Insecta; Diptera; Therevidae.
AAAUGGCCGCAGUAUUUUAACUGUGCAAAGGUAGCAUAAUCAUUAGUCUUUUAAUUGAAGGCUUGUAUGAAUGGUUGGACGAGAUAUUAACUGUUUCAUAAAAAUUGAAUUAGAAUUUUAUUUUUUAGUUAAAAAGCUAAAAUUUUUUUAAAAGACGAGAAGACCCUAUAGAUCUUUAUAUUUUAUGUAUUAUAAUUAUUUAGAUUAUUUGAUUUAUGAUUAUAUAAAAUAUUUUGUUGGGGUGACAUUAAAAUUUAAUUAACUUUUAAUUAAUAUUUACAUUAAUUUAUGAUGUUUUGAUCCAUUAAUAAUGAUUAAAAAUUUAAGUUACCUUAGGGAUAACAGCGUAAUUUUUUUGGAGAGUUCAUAUCGAUAAAAAAGAUUGCGACCUCGAUGUUGGAUUAAGAUAUAAUUUUGGGUGCAGCAAUUCAAUUAUUAAGUC